This 413-nucleotide ribosomal RNA is filed under the name uncultured prokaryote. RNAcentral describes it as "bacterial SSU rRNA". It matches the Rfam family "Bacterial small subunit ribosomal RNA", at positions 505 to 918 of the family's 1533-position model. The record is from RNAcentral.
GUGCCAGCCGCCGCGGUAAUACGGAGGGGGCUAGCGUUGUUCGGAAUUACUGGGCGUAAAGCGCGCGUAGGCGGUUUGCCAAGUCAGAGGUGAAAGCCCGGGGCUUAACCUCGGAAUUGCCUUUGAGACUGGCAGGCUUGAGUACGGGAGAGGUAAGUGGAAUUCCGAGUGUAGAGGUGAAAUUCGUAGAUAUUCGGAAGAACACCAGUGGCGAAGGCGGCUUACUGGACCGUUACUGACGCUGAGGCGCGAAAGCGUGGGGAGCAAACAGGAUUAGAUACCCUGGUAGUCCACGCCGUAAACGAUGAGGGCUAGUUGUCAGGCGGCAUGCCGUUUGGUGACGCAGUUAACGCAUUAAGCCCUCCGCCUGGGGAGUACGGUCGCAAGAUUAAAACUCAAAGGAAUUGACGGGG